Molecule: transfer RNA, 72 nt
Filed under: Otolemur garnettii (small-eared galago)
Lineage: Eukaryota; Metazoa; Chordata; Mammalia; Primates; Galagidae
Rfam family: tRNA
About the family: Transfer RNA (tRNA) molecules are approximately 80 nucleotides in length. Their secondary structure includes four short double-helical elements and three loops (D, anti-codon, and T loops).
Source: Rfam by way of RNAcentral
GUGCCCAUAGCUCGAUGGUUGGAGUGCCAGUCUCGUGCACUGGCCUGGUGGGUUCAAACCCGCCUGGGCCUG